Molecule: long non-coding RNA, 740 nt
Filed under: Anser brachyrhynchus (Pink-footed goose)
Lineage: Eukaryota; Metazoa; Chordata; Aves; Anseriformes; Anatidae
Description: lncRNA (ENSABRG00000008330.1)
Source: RNAcentral
AUGGUAGACUGGAAAGGAGCUCUUUGUCUUUCUGUAUUUGUGUGUGCAUAUGUGAACAGCAUGGAACGAUGUAACUGGCACAUUAAAGAGAAGGCUUUAUCUGCAGAAGAUUCUUUUCUCACUAGGGAUCACUCUUCUUCACUUCAUGGUAGCCUUACAAGAGGAGUUCAGAUGUGUGAUGAUGUUAGACAAGGCAGAGGAAGAGCAUUGAUGGAGAAUUUCUAGGCAUUAAUGUUUUGCCUUGCUAGGCAAAUGUAUGAGAAUGAUGAAUUCAGUACUGCACAAGAAGAGGACAGAUCCUGCAUUGAGUAGCUUCCAUGAACAAGGAGACGCUGAGCUUCAUCUCAGUAUAUCACUGCCCAGGCUAUGGCCUGGCCAUGGGAGAUGACAAGCAGCUGCUACAAGCGAAGGUAUUUCUGCAUAAACAAGAGUACUUUUUAUCUCAGGAUAGAAUAUGAUCGGCUUGUUUAUGCUUGCAGCCUUUUCAUUUCUUAAGGAACAGAUUUGUUACAUUUGCUAAAGGAGAAGUGGGGAUAUUUGUUCUACAAGUACUGCUUCAGACAAAAUAUUUCAUCUCUAUUUAUAUUCCUUCUUUCUACAAUGGGCAACGUUAUUUUUGUCUCAUUAUUCAUAGACCUUUUGAGGAUUAAUUAAGCAAUAAUUGUGAAUAGGCCAGAUUUCUUCUUUAAAGGUUCCAGAUCAACAAGGCAAUGAAUAAAUAGGAUAAACAGAUUUUACCA